Molecule: ribosomal RNA, 795 nt
Filed under: uncultured microorganism
Description: bacterial SSU rRNA
Rfam family: Bacterial small subunit ribosomal RNA
Source: RNAcentral
UUAGAGUUUGAUCCUGGCUCAGGAUGAACGCUAGCGGCAGGCUUAAUACAUGCAAGUCGAGGGGCAGCGCAAUGUAGCAAUACAUGGGCGGCGACCGGCAAACGGGUGCGGAACACGUACGCAACCUACCCAUAACUGAUGAAUAGCCCUCCGAAAGGAGGAUUAAUACAUCGUAACUUAAUGAAGUGGCAUCACUUUAUUAAUAUAGCUCCGGCGGUUUUGGAUGGGCGUGCGCCUGAUUAGGUAGUUGGCGGGGUAAUGGCCCACCAAGCCUGCGAUCAGUAACUGGUGUGAGAGCACGACCAGUCACACGGGCACUGAGACACGGGCCCGACUCCUACGGGAGGCAGCAGUAAGGAAUAUUGGUCAAUGGACGCAAGUCUGAACCAGCCAUGCCGCGUGAAGGAUGAAGGUCCUCUGGAUUGUAAACUUCUUUUAUAUGGGACGAAACCUCUUAUUCUUAAGAGACUGACGGUACCAUAGGAAUAAGCACCGGCUAACUCCGUGCCAGCAGCCGCGGUAAUACGGAGGGUGCAAGCGUUAUCCGGAUUCACUGGGUUUAAAGGGAGCGUAGGAGGGCAGGUAAGUCAGUGGUGGAAUCUUCGAGCUUAACUCGGAAACUGCCGUUGAUACUAUCUGUCUUGAAUACCGUGGAGAUGAGCGGAAUAUGUCAUGUAGCGGUGAAAUGCUUAGAUAUGACAUAGAACACCAAUUGCGAAGGCAGCUCGUUACACGAAUAUUGACUCUGAGGCUCGAAAGCGUGGGGAUCAAACAGGAUUAGAUACCCGCGUAGUC